UGGGGAAUAUUGCACAAUGGGCGAAAGCCUGAUGCAGCGACGCCGCGUGAGGGAAGAAGGUUUUCGGAUUGUAAACCUCUGUCUUCGGGGACGAUAAUGACGGUACCCGAGGAGGAAGCCACGGCUAACUACGUGCCAGCAGCCGCGGUAAAACGUAGGUGGCAAGCGUUGUCCGGAAUUACUGGGUGUAAAGGGAGCGCAGGCGGGGUGCCAAGUUGGGUGUGAAAACUAUGGGCUUAACCCAUAGAUUGCACUCAAAACUGGCGCUCUUGAGUGAUGGAGAGGCAGGCGGAAUUCCCGGUGUAGCGGUGGAAUGCGUAGAUAUCGGGAGGAACACCAGUGGCGAAGGCGGCCUGCUGGACAUUAACUGACGCUGAGGCUCGAAAGUGUGGGGAGCAAACAGG
RNAcentral lists this ribosomal RNA (404 nucleotides) under uncultured bacterium. RNAcentral describes it as "bacterial SSU rRNA". It matches the Rfam family "Bacterial small subunit ribosomal RNA", at positions 355 to 776 of the family's 1533-position model. The record is from RNAcentral.